RNAcentral lists this ribosomal RNA (497 nucleotides) under uncultured bacterium. RNAcentral describes it as "partial 16S ribosomal RNA". It matches the Rfam family "Bacterial small subunit ribosomal RNA", at positions 28 to 507 of the family's 1533-position model. The record is from RNAcentral.
GAUGAACGCUGGCGGCGUGCCUAAUACAUGCAAGUCGAGCGAACAGAUGAGGAGCUUGCUCCUCUGACGUUAGCGGCGGACGGGUGAGUAACACGUUGAUAACCUACCUAUAAGACUGGGAUAACUUCGGGAAACCGGAGCUAAUACCGGAUAAUAUAUUGAACCGCAUGGUUCAAUAGUGAAAGACGGUUUUGCUGUCACUUAUAGAUGGAUCCGCGCCGCAUUAGCUAGUUGGUAAGGUAACGGCUUACCAAGGCAACGAUGCGUAGCCGACCUGAGAGGGUGAUAGGCCACACUGGAACUGAGACACGGUCCAGACUCCUACGGGAGGCAGCAGUAGGGAAUCUUCCGCAAUGGGCGAAAGCCUGACGGAGCAACGCCGCGUGAGUGAUGAAGGUCUUCGGAUCGUAAAACUCUGUUAUUAGGGAAGAACAAAUGUGUAAGUAACUAUGCACGUCUUGACGGUACCUAAUCAGAAAGCCACGGCUAACUACGUG